UACGUAGGGGGCGAGCGUUGUCCGGAGUUACUGGGCGUAAAGCGCACGCAGGCGGUCUGUUAAGUUUGGAGUGACAGUUGGUGGCUUAACUGCCAAAGUGCUUCGAAAACUGACAGACUUGAGGGCUUCAGAGGGACACGGAAUUCCGGGUGGAGUGGUGAAAUGCGUAGAGAUCCGGAGGAACACCAAAGGCGAAGGCAGUGUCUUGGGGAGUACCUGACGCUCAGGUGCGAAAGCCAGGGGAGCGAACGGG
RNAcentral lists this ribosomal RNA (253 nucleotides) under uncultured bacterium. RNAcentral's name for it is "partial 16S ribosomal RNA". It matches the Rfam family "Bacterial small subunit ribosomal RNA", at positions 524 to 776 of the family's 1533-position model. The record is from RNAcentral.